AAAAAACCUGGAAACUUGUUGGAUUGCUCUGAUGCAGCUCCAUGGUUCUUCAAAGGAAAGGAGGUGGCUGGUGCUGCUUUAUGAAUCCUCCAGUCUUGGUAAUGAGCUAAUCUGCUUGAUGUCAGCAGCUAUCAGGGCCUCAUUCUACACUGAAAAGGAAACCAAGUUGU
Molecule: non-coding RNA, 170 nt
Organism: Lonchura striata (white-rumped munia)
Lineage: Eukaryota; Metazoa; Chordata; Aves; Passeriformes; Estrildidae
Source: RefSeq, a predicted model, not a curated record